CAUAGAUAAUGUUGAGAAUAUACAGAUUUUUGUUAGGGUUGAGAAGCAAAGACAAAGAACCAAACCCAUGUUGACAAGAACAGACAACGGACAAGCUCAUCAUUCUUAUCUACUAUUUGCAUACUUCUGAAUGCUUAUCUGUAUAAUAGUGAAUACAAUGAUCAAUUAUUCACUGGCAUUUACAACUUCAAUAACUACUUAAGCCUUACAAGAGUUCCGAAGAGAAGAAGUCCUAUUGAAGACCCUGGUGUAUAUAUCUCCUCCUCAACUUCCAUCUGGUCAUCUCUUAAAAGAGAGCAAGAAAUGGUUAUGGUGAUGCCAUGGAGCAUGGCUUUGUACAUAAUUAAGGUCGUGUGCAAGGGACUCAAUGGAUGGAUCUCUUUUACAUGGAUGGUGGCUGAUCACAUAGCUCAUGGUCUCAGGACUGGGGUUAUGACGUCUAUAGCUCUGCUUCCUCUAAUUCCAUAGCGCUUUGGUUUCGUAUCAUAUUCUUUAAGUGAGGUUCUUUUUUUUUAAUUUAAAUUUGAACUUCCAUUGUCAUUUCUUUAAUUUGGUUGGUCGAGUAGAAUUUGGCUUGAUCCUUGAGGUAUAACUUGUA
Asparagus officinalis (garden asparagus) is the source of this 598-nucleotide long non-coding RNA. RefSeq lists it as uncharacterized. The transcript has 2 exons. NCBI's taxonomy places the organism in Eukaryota, Viridiplantae, Streptophyta, Magnoliopsida, Asparagales, Asparagaceae. The record is from RefSeq and is a predicted model, not a curated record.